UACAGAGGGGGCAAGCGUUGUUCGGAAUUACUGGGCGUAAAGGGCGCGUAGGCGGCGUGCUAAGUCGAACGUGAAAUCCCCGGGCUCAACCCGGGAACUGCGUCCGAGACUGGCAGGCUUGAAUCCGGGAGAGGGAUGUGGAAUUCCAGGUGUAGCGGUGAAAUGCGUAGAUAUCCGGAGGAACACCGGUGGCGAAGGCGGCUUCCUGGACCGACACUGACGCUGAGGCGCGAAAGCUAGGGGAGCAAACGGG
RNAcentral lists this ribosomal RNA (253 nucleotides) under uncultured bacterium. RNAcentral describes it as "partial 16S ribosomal RNA". It matches the Rfam family "Bacterial small subunit ribosomal RNA", at positions 524 to 776 of the family's 1533-position model. The record is from RNAcentral.